GGAUUAGAUACCCUGGUAGUCCACGCCGUAAACGCUGUCUACUAGCUGUAUGCGGAUUCAUUUCUGUGUGUAGCGAAGCUAACGCGCUAAGUAGACCGCCUGGGGAGUACGGCCGCAAGGUUAAAACUCAAAUGAAUUGACGGGGGCCCGCACAAGCGGUGGAGCAUGUGGUUUAAUUCGAUGCAACGCGAAGAACCUUACCUACUCUUGACAUCCAGAGAACUUAGCAGAGAUGCUUUGGUGCCUUCGGGAGCUCUGAGACAGGUGCUGCAUGGCUGUCGUCAGCUCGUGUUG
This 294-nucleotide ribosomal RNA is filed under the name uncultured bacterium. RNAcentral describes it as "partial 16S ribosomal RNA". It matches the Rfam family "Bacterial small subunit ribosomal RNA", at positions 775 to 1067 of the family's 1533-position model. The record is from RNAcentral.